RNAcentral lists this ribosomal RNA (614 nucleotides) under Colacogloea foliorum. RNAcentral describes it as "eukaryotic LSU rRNA". The stretch from base 180 to 333 matches the Rfam family "5.8S ribosomal RNA". Lineage: Eukaryota; Fungi; Basidiomycota; Microbotryomycetes; Colacogloeaceae. The record is from RNAcentral.
UCCGUAGGUGAACCUGCGGAAGGAUCAUUAAUGAAUAUUAGGGUGCUAUCUUCAUCAGAGUUAGGCCCGACCUUCAUUCUUCUACACUGUGCACUUUUUAAUUGGGUGAAGCUUAACGGCUGAUCCCUACUCUUUAAACUCUACAAGUUAAAGAAUGUAAUAAAUCAAUAACAAAGAAAAACUUUCAACAACGGAUCUCUUGGCUCUCGCAUCGAUGAAGAACGCAGCGAAAUGCGAUACGUAAUGUGAAUUGCAGAAUUCAGUGAAUCAUCGAAUCUUUGAACGCAUCUUGCGCUCUCUGGUAUUCCGGAGAGCAUGCCUGUUUGAGUGUCAUGAACUCUUCAACCCACCAAUUCCUUGUUGAAUUGCGUGGUGUUUGGAUUCUGAGUGUUGCUGGCCUAGCGCUUUGGCGCAGAGGCGAAGCUCAUUCGUAAUACAUUAGCGACUCAAUUUCGAGUUUUCGGUUUGACUCGGCGUAAUAGACUAUUCGCUGAGGACACUUCGGUGGCCGAAUCUCGAGGUAGAAGCUUCCAAUUCGUAGUCUUUACUCUAAGAUUAGACCUCAGAUCAGGUAGGAUUACCCGCUGAACUUAAGCAUAUCAAUAAGCGGAGGA